Long non-coding RNA from Eriocheir sinensis (Chinese mitten crab), 834 nucleotides. RefSeq lists it as uncharacterized. The record is from RefSeq and is a predicted model, not a curated record. Lineage: Eukaryota; Metazoa; Arthropoda; Malacostraca; Decapoda; Varunidae. The transcript is spliced from 3 exons.
UGGUAGCAGCUACGCGCCACAGUUGUGGCCUUAGCCUAACCAGCGAGGAGCCACACCUGUGGCAUGUCAUAAACCGCCCAGUGGGAAGAGUUAAUUGGGUGGUGACACCUGGCUACCGGGGAGGAUGACCUGGCCCGGAGCCCAGGACCCUGCAGGUCAGUAUAUGAGAAAACACCUUUGAGAGCAGAUCAGUCAUCAGUGUCUUCACAAUCCGAGUCUUUUGAAGUCAGCUCAAGAAGAGGAUGAAACGAGAUUGCUAUGGUAAUGUGGUCAAUGGAUCUUCGUCUGGAACUGUGCCUAGAGCUGCAGCCCAAGGCCCCAGUGGUAAUGUCGCCAAUGGAUCUCCCUCUGGAAAUAUGCCUAAAGCUGCAACCCAAGGUCCCAAAGGUAUGGUAUUUUUUUGUGUGUGAAUUGUUACUGAUGUAAACUAUAGAUGUAUUGAUCGAUAUUUGGUUUAUCUACUUCAUGAAUCUCUAUGACACCAAUUCCUCCUUUCUCAGGUACUGCCGCUGCAAGCAGUCAUGCCCCAGGUCCUUCGGGGUACAGGCCCGCACCUCGCCGACGUCCUGUGCAACCCGACAAGUACAUGAGACUGCUGUUUUCUACGGACGGUAACGACAACGACAUCUCUGACUCUGAAUUUGUUCUGGACAGUGACAGUGACAGUGACAGUGACAGUGACAGUGACUUUGACAGUGACAGUGAAAGUGACAGGGACAAUGAACUGCGUGAAGGUGAGGAUGACCACCGGAACAGAGAAGUGCCGUUGCCUGAGACCCCAGACUUCUCAUUUGCUUGGUCAGAAGGGUCAGACUUCGUACCUGACCUGCACGA